AAUGGACGAAAGUCUGACGCAGCGACGCCGCGUGGGGGAUGAAGGUCUUCGGAUUGUAAACCUCUUUCAGCAGGGAUGAAGCGAAAGUGACAGUACCUGCAGAAGAAGCACCGGCUAACUACGUGCCAGCAGCCGCGGUAAUACGUAGGGUGCAAGCGUUGUCCGGAUUUAUUGGGCGUAAAGAGCUCGUAGGCGGNCUGUCGCGUCGGAUGUGAAAACCCAAUGGCUUAACCUUGGGCCUGCAUUCGAUACGGGCAGACUAGAGUGUGGUAGGGGAAACUGGAACUCCUGGUGUAGCGGUGGAAUGCGCAGAUAUCAGGAAGAACACCGAUGGCGAAGGCAGGUUUCUGGGCCAUAACUGACGCUGAGGAGCGAAAGCGUGGGGAGCAAA
Molecule: ribosomal RNA, 391 nt
Filed under: uncultured bacterium
Lineage: Bacteria
Description: bacterial SSU rRNA
Rfam family: Bacterial small subunit ribosomal RNA
Source: RNAcentral